Molecule: ribosomal RNA, 494 nt
Filed under: uncultured bacterium
Lineage: Bacteria
Description: partial 16S ribosomal RNA
Rfam family: Bacterial small subunit ribosomal RNA
Source: RNAcentral
GACGAGCGCUGGCGGCGUGCUUAACACAUGCAAGUCGAACGGUGAAGCGCCUUCCUUUUUGGUGGGUGUGGAUGAGUGGCGAACGGGCGAGUAACACGUGAGUAACCUGCCCCCUUCUUCUGGAUAACCGCAUGAAAGUGUGGCUAAUACGGGAUAUUCUGGGUCUGUCGCAUGAUGGGUCUGGGAAAGAUAUUGUUUCGGUGGGGGAUGGGCUCGCGGCCUAUCAGCUUGUUGGUGGGGUGAUGGCCUACCAAGGCGGUGACGGGUAGCCGGCCUGAGAGGGUGGACGGUCACACUGGGACUGAGACACGGCCCAGACUCCUACGGGAGGCAGCAGUGGGGAAUAUUGCACAAUGGGCGCAAGCCUGAUGCAGCGACGCCGCGUGAGGGAUGGAGGCCUUCGGGUUGUGAACCUCUUUCGCCAGUGAAGCAGGCCUGCCUCGUUUGUGGGUGGGUUGACGGUAGCUGGAUAAGAAGCGCCGGCUAACUACGUG